This is a long non-coding RNA of Acanthochromis polyacanthus (spiny chromis), 1077 nucleotides long. RefSeq lists it as uncharacterized. Lineage: Eukaryota; Metazoa; Chordata; Actinopteri; Pomacentridae. The transcript is spliced from 3 exons. The record is from RefSeq and is a predicted model, not a curated record.
UUACUUUUUAAAAGUUUUAUAAGUGCUUCAGAUACCUUAUAAAAAAUCCAUCUCCAGGAGAAUCCUUGAUUUCAGCAAGGCUGUCUACACGGUUCUGGACCUUGAACGUGAUUGUUUCAGCCGGCUUCAGCAAUUCCAGGCCCAGUCCCGUCGACACUUUGCUACCUCGGCCUCUUGCAGGGCCUCCUUCAGCUCCUGAGAUAUGGCCUCAUACUGCUUCCUCAGCAUCUCGAUCUCCUUGUUGGCUCGUUCCAUGUCCAGAGUGGCACAGUCUUGUUUCUGGAGGAGUGGGCAGAAAUGCUUUGUGAUAAAGAUACAUGUACCAUAGAGACUGCUGUACUGAUAAGCUCGGAGAUUAUUAUCCCCCGCCACCACGAAGUGGAAAGGGGGAUAAAGGUUUGGCCUCCGUCCGUCCGUCCGUGCUGACUGUAUUGCUUACACCUGGCUGAAGACCAAGCUCCAUACCCCACCUGGCAGACAUCAGGAAUGACUGGCCUGGAGGUCCAGACCUGCUCUCAGCCCUGGUUCUCUCCACCUCCUGACCUGUCGGAUUGGUCGACAACCACAACCCCUCCUCCUACAAGAGCCCAGACAUCACCACACCUGCUACAAAUCUACAGCCAAACUUUCAGUCAGGGCAGCUGGGAUUUAAUGUGAACAGUUUGCCCCGGUGCCUCUUGUGUGUUCUGUAGCUUCAGUUAGCAGCUGCAUAACUAGGUGAGACGCCAUUAGUGUUCUAUGUUUUUCGUAGCCACUGAAGGGUGGCGAUUUGCAUCCUGUGUUUUUUGGUAAUGAGUGUUUUGGAUGCACCAAUUUUAUUUAGUUAAUUCUGUGCACUUGCCACUAUUUUGUAUUAGUUUCUGUUGUUUGUCGUGGGUUUUGCUUUCGUGUUUAGGUUUGGCCAAGGAGUUUCAUUUCUUUGUUAUUGUUAUUUCUUAGUUGGAUGGAAAACUCUGCAGCCUUUGUUUGGUUUUAUUUGGUUCUUUGAUCUAGCAACAUCUACCAGCCCUGUUUUCCUUUUUCUCAUCAUUCUAUGUUUUGUCCUUGAGCAAUAAAUUCCUUUGCCCUAACCAAUGA